AUGGAAAAUAUCACAUGGUCAAGGAAAGAUGUGAGGGAGAAGUCAUAAGGACUUAGGAAAAGACAACUGUGGUGCUGAGAGAAUCCAACUGCACUUACACUGGGCUACCUAAUUAUGUGAUGGUGGAUGAUAUUGACAUAGGUCUGCUGUGGUGAAACUACAAUGUUCUGAAGAUGGACUACAAAAAGCGCAUCUUACAUACUCUGUUCCGGUCGUUCUUACGGUGUUGUUUCAUGCACUUUAUAUAAACAUGCACAACACGCUGAAAAAUAACUUCAGGUCAGAAUUGAAUUUAAAAAAGGAAUAUAGCCUGCCAGUCAUAAAACUGAAACAAAAUUGUCACAUUGAGAAUGUCUGCUCACACUCACCCUCCUUGAUCCCAAUCAUUGUAUGAAAAUAAAUGUUAAAUGUAUGACAUCACAUGGUAGGCCUACAAAUCUACAACUGUACAUAAUCGUCGUUCUUAAGUUUCAAACAUGAUGACUUAAAAACAUCAAUGUCAGACUAAAAACGUCUUACAUCCCUUUUUCUUGAAAGACAGACUUCUGUGUUAUGGUUAAUAUACCGAUAAUAAUCUGUUAUUAGCCUAUAAUGCAUAUAAUAGUUACCACAUACAAACCCAAACACCUUGAAAUGUUGACUUGUUUGUGCUUUAAAGUUGUUCUGGUUGAUAGAGGCUGUGGAUCUGUGUGCCCUCCAUCCAAAGCUCUGUUCAACUUGUUUGAUAACAGGAUAAACAAAUAUACAAUGCAUUGUUUUGUUGCAGAUUUUUGUGUGAAGAUACAGCGUGUCUUGAGAUUUAAAUAAUAAAGUUAGGCUGCUGUGCUUGGAUAACUGUAGUGUGCCCUGCAUAAAUGCGCACAGCAUCUCUCUUAAUGUGGAGUGAUCCCUGCAAGGAUUUAAUAAAGCAGAAACGAUAAGUGCGUUUUCAAUAAGACAGCAGCUGUGCACAUUUACACGUGAGGCACUGCAGCGUAACAUUGAUUAUCUAUCUAUCUAUCUAUCUAUCUACAGCAAGCAUAGUCAAUGACUGUUUUUGUAGAGGUGCAGUUGGGGCAGAUAAUAUAGAUAUAACAAUUAAAGUGAAAAAACAGUUGUUUUCUGGUUUUGAUUUAAUUUCUAUUCCAAUUGCCGAAAACGGGAAGAGCACAGAAAUUUCAGUUUUUUUUUUACAAUUCAUUACAGAAAACGUAUAACGCUUUGUACAUUUGUUUAUUCUGUUUUCAAACAAGCUGAGCACAGCUUUGGACAGAGGGGACACAGACUGCUGUGGAUGUGUAAUAUGGGUUUAAUCGUUUGAAAUUGUGAAUGGUGCGUCGCUUACUGCUGCAAGGAAUUGUGGGACGGAAUCAUCUCCUUUCCUUUCGUAAAGGAUGGUCAAGUGUACCCUAUGCUAAAGGAGAUGAGAAAGGAAACAUUGGAGCACCUUUCCUUAGCAGUUAGAGAAUUUAACCAGCUCUUAUCAUGGCUGCCACUUAGAUACUUCCGGGUCAUUUCACUCAGUUAGGAACCUUACUAAGCAAAAAAGACUAUUCAACCACAGCCUUGGGAUGCCUGUCAAAAUGGCGCACCAGGAACAACUUCCGGUUCAGGCGAGGAGCGAGGAAAGAUCAAAUAAGAGACUUGAGAUGUACCCCUCAUGCCUCUAAAAAGAAAUUUCCUUGUGUCUUCUCUCCUCGUUUGGUUUCCUUGCGUCUCUCCAUGCAGGAAAAGAUGCAAGUGAGGGAAACGUGGAUGCAAUUUAACUUGGGAUGCACCCACAGACUGACGCCACUUGGGUGUGGGCUCUAUUAAAACUCCGGCAUAUGCCUGUCAUAUUCGGGUGUGGGACCUCCAUUGGUAUGCUGAUGCAUAAACUCACCCUAUGGCAAGAUGUACCAGCACUCAGGGGCAUGGAGAGUUUCCAGAGGACCAGAGAAGAGAGCUUGUGAGAUACCAGGGAAGGCAGCUGUGGAUGGAGUGUCGCUCACCUCGAAUGCUUUUGCUGGGGUUUCAUGUCUGCUGUCUGAGUCCCUAACUGUACCUACCAAGAUUGGCUUUCACAGUGAUACAUAUACUCACCAAGCACUUUAUUAGGAACACCUGUGCACCUAAUGCAAUCCUAUACAACAGCUCUGCCAUAAUAUUUCUACAAAGCCUAUACAUAUUUUGUCCACCUUGAGGGGGUAAACAAAAUAUUAGGAACUCUUUUCAAUAUAAUGGGGCUAAGCACUUCAGUGGCUCAUAACAGUCACUACUUUAGUUUUUGUUACUUCACCAUCCUAUAGAU
Thunnus maccoyii (southern bluefin tuna) is the source of this 2269-nucleotide long non-coding RNA. RefSeq lists it as uncharacterized. The transcript is spliced from 3 exons. NCBI's taxonomy places the organism in Eukaryota, Metazoa, Chordata, Actinopteri, Scombriformes, Scombridae. The record is from RefSeq and is a predicted model, not a curated record.